This 253-nucleotide ribosomal RNA is filed under the name uncultured bacterium. RNAcentral describes it as "partial 16S ribosomal RNA". It matches the Rfam family "Bacterial small subunit ribosomal RNA", at positions 524 to 776 of the family's 1533-position model. The record is from RNAcentral.
UACAGAGGGGGCAAGCGUUAUUCGGAAUUAUUGGGCGUAAAGGGCGCGUAGGCGGCGAUUCAAGUGACGGGUGAAAUCCCUCGGCUUAACCGAGGAACUGCCUGUCAGACUGGAUUGCUUGGGGCCGGGAGAGGCGAGUGGAAUUCCCAGUGUAGCGGUGAAAUGCGUAGAGAUGUGGAGGAACACCAGUGGCGAAAGCGGCUCUCUGGUCUGUAACUGACGCUGAGGCGCGAAAGCGUGGGGAGCAAACAGG